GACGAACGCUGGCGGCGUGCUUAACACAUGCAAGUCGAACGGAAAGGCCCUGCUUUUGUGGGGUGCUCGAGUGGCGAACGGGUGAGUAACACGUGAGUAACCUGCCCUUGACUUUGGGAUAACUUCAGGAAACUGGGGCUAAUACCGGAUAGGAGCUCCUGCUGCAUGGUGGGGGUUGGAAAGUUUCGGCGGUUGGGGAUGGACUCGCGGCUUAUCAGCUUGUUGGUUGGGUAGUGGAUUACCAAGGCUUUGACGGGUAGCCGGCCUGAGAGGGUGACCGGCCACAUUGGGCCUGAGGUACGGCGCAGUCUGCUACGGGAGGCAGCAGUGGGGAGUAUUGCACAAUAGGCGGAAGCGUGAUGCAGAAGCGCCGCGUGCGGGAUGACGGCCUUCGGGUUGUAAACCGCUUUCGCCUGUGACGAAGCGUGAGUGACGGUAAUGGGUAAAGAAGCACCGGCUAACUACGUG
This 468-nucleotide ribosomal RNA is filed under the name uncultured bacterium. RNAcentral's name for it is "partial 16S ribosomal RNA". It matches the Rfam family "Bacterial small subunit ribosomal RNA", at positions 28 to 507 of the family's 1533-position model. The record is from RNAcentral.